UACGUAGGGUGCAAGCGUUAAUCGGAAUUACUGGGCGUAAAGCGUGCGCAGGCGGUUUUGUAAGUUUGUCGUGAAAUCCCCGGGCUCAACCUGGGAAUUGCGAUGAAGACUGCAAGGCUAGAAUCUGGCAGAGGGGGGUAGAAUUCCACGUGUGAGCAGUGAAAUGCGUAGAGAUGUGGAGGAACACCGAUGGCGAAGGCAGCCCCUGGGUCAAGAUUGACGCUCAUGCA
Molecule: ribosomal RNA, 230 nt
Filed under: uncultured bacterium
Lineage: Bacteria
Description: partial 16S ribosomal RNA
Rfam family: Bacterial small subunit ribosomal RNA
Source: RNAcentral